Populus trichocarpa (black cottonwood) is the source of this 102-nucleotide non-coding RNA. The record is from Rfam. NCBI's taxonomy places the organism in Eukaryota, Viridiplantae, Streptophyta, Magnoliopsida, Malpighiales, Salicaceae.
AAAUUAGUUUGGGGCAAAUUCUCAUUUAGUCAUGACAUACUCAUAUCUGACUAUUUAGAAUUAUUUAUUAUUGUGUGAAUAAUAACUUUUUAAGAUUUUAAU